RNAcentral lists this ribosomal RNA (671 nucleotides) under uncultured bacterium. RNAcentral's name for it is "bacterial SSU rRNA". It matches the Rfam family "Bacterial small subunit ribosomal RNA", at positions 139 to 808 of the family's 1533-position model. The record is from RNAcentral.
GGGGACAACCCGCCGAAAGGCGGGCUAAACCCGCGUACAUGCCACCGGGGCAUCCCGGAGGCAGGAAAGGCUUCGGCCGGACAGGGAUGGGCAUGCGGCGCAUUAGGCAGUAGGCGGGGUAACGGCCCACCUAACCGACGAUGCGUAGGGGUUCUGAGAGGAAGGUCCCCCACACUGGUACUGAGACACGGACCAGACUCCUACGGGAGGCAGCAGUGAGGAAUAUUGGUCAAUGGUCGGGAGACUGAACCAGCCAAGCCGCGUGAGGGAGGAAGGUACAGAGUAUCGUAAACCUCUUUUGUCAGGGAACAAAGACUGGGACGCGUCCCCGGAUGAGUGUACCUGAAGAAAAAGCAUCGGCUAACUCCGUGCCAGCAGCCGCGGUAAUACGGAGGAUGCGAGCGUUAUCCGGAUUUAUUGGGUUUAAAGGGUGCGCAGGCGGUCUGUUAAGUCAGCGGUCAAAGCCCGGGGCUCAACCCCGGCCCGCCGUUGAAACUGGCAGUCUCGAGUUGGAGAGAAGUAUGCGGAAUGCGCGGUGUAGCGGUGAAAUGCAUAGAUAUCGCGCAGAACUCCGAUUGCGAAGGCAGCAUGCCGGCUCCACACUGACGCUGAGGCACGAAAGCGUGGGUAUCGAACAGGAUUAGAUACCCUGAUAGUCCACGCAGUAAACG